GACGAACGCUGGCGGCGUGCUUAACACAUGCAAGUCGAACGGGAUUUAGUAAACGGAAGCCUCGGUGGAAGAUUACUAAUGAGAGUGGCGAACGGGUGAGUAACGCGUGAGCAACCUGCCUAUGACAGUGGGAUAGCCUCGGGAAACCGGGAUUAAUACCGCAUAAAAUCGUAGAAACACAUGUUUCAACGGUCAAAGAUUUAUCGGUCAUAGAUGGGCUCGCGUCUGAUUAGCUAGUUGGUGAGAUAACAGCCCACCAAGGCGACGAUCAGUAGCCGGUCUGAGAGGAUGAACGGCCACGUUGGAACUGAGACACGGUCCAAACUCCUACGGGAAGCAGCAGUGGGGAAUAUUGCACAAUGGGGGAAACCCUGAUGCAGCGACGCCGCGUGAACGAAGAAGGUAUUCGUAUCGUAAAGUUCUGUCCUAUGGGAAGAUAAUGACAGUACCAUAGAAGAAAGCUCCGGCUAAAUACGUG
This 478-nucleotide ribosomal RNA is filed under the name uncultured bacterium. RNAcentral's name for it is "partial 16S ribosomal RNA". It matches the Rfam family "Bacterial small subunit ribosomal RNA", at positions 28 to 507 of the family's 1533-position model. The record is from RNAcentral.